This 465-nucleotide ribosomal RNA is filed under the name uncultured Klebsiella sp. Its description in RNAcentral is "bacterial SSU rRNA". It matches the Rfam family "Bacterial small subunit ribosomal RNA", at positions 338 to 795 of the family's 1533-position model. The record is from RNAcentral. Lineage: Bacteria; Pseudomonadati; Pseudomonadota; Gammaproteobacteria; Enterobacterales; Enterobacteriaceae.
CCUACGGGGGGCAGCAGUGGGGAAUAUUGCACAAUGGGCGCAAGCCUGAUGCAGCCAUGCCGCGUGUGUGAAGAAGGCCUUCGGGUUGUAAAGCACUUUCAGCGGGGAGGAAGGCGGUGAGGUUAAUAACCUCAUCGAUUGACGUUACCCGCAGAAGAAGCACCGGCUAACUCCGUGCCAGCAGCCGCGGUAAUACGGAGGGUGCAAGCGUUAAUCGGAAUUACUGGGCGUAAAGCGCACGCAGGCGGUCUGUCAAGUCGGAUGUGAAAUCCCCGGGCUCAACCUGGGAACUGCAUUCGAAACUGGCAGGCUAGAGUCGUGUAGAGGGGGGUAGAAUUCCAGGUGUAGCGGUGAAAUGCGUAGAGAUCUGGAGGAAUACCGGUGGCGAAGGCGGCCCCCUGGACAAAGACCGACGCUCAGGUGCGAAAGCGUGGGGAGCAAACAGGAUUAGAUACCCUAGUAGUC